This is an RNA transcript of Harmonia axyridis, 536 nucleotides long. RefSeq lists it as uncharacterized. Lineage: Eukaryota; Metazoa; Arthropoda; Insecta; Coleoptera; Coccinellidae. The transcript has 3 exons. The record is from RefSeq and is a predicted model, not a curated record.
AGUAUUUCUUUUUGAAAGAUCUUUUAGAAAUGACAAAUCAUAAUUAUAUCAAAAUUUAAAAUUGAAAAAUAAAUUCACUAUUCCAUCAUGGCAUUUCUACAACUGCUGCAGACCUCAAUGAAAUUGUUAGCAAAAAAUAGACAAAGAGCUAAUUUGAUGAGAGGAUUCAGAUUUGUCUCGAGUAAGUUCACUCGAGAUAGCAACGAUCCUUGCGCUUGUCCUUGUUGUCCUCAGCCUUGCAUCCCUUGCGAACAACCGGAUCCUUGUGACCCGUACAAGAAACCGCGCAAGGGAGAUCCUUGCGAGCAGAAGAAGAGAAAGCAGUGCAAAAGGAGACAUCCCGCUAGUCCAGAUCCAAUACCUCCCCCUCCUAUACAGGGAGUUCCUUGCAAACCGGGGCGAGAGGACUGUUCUGAUUGUUGAUUAUGCAAUAAAAAGGGAAUAAUUAGGGUCUUGGGUCAAAGAAACAAAUCAAAGAAGACUUGUAGAGAAGAAUGUGGUGGCAUCUGCAGGAAGCGUCCCAAAGACGACUCACU